This 455-nucleotide ribosomal RNA is filed under the name uncultured bacterium. RNAcentral's name for it is "bacterial SSU rRNA". It matches the Rfam family "Bacterial small subunit ribosomal RNA", at positions 346 to 793 of the family's 1533-position model. The record is from RNAcentral.
AGGCAGCAGUGGGGAAUUUUGGACAAUGGACGAAAGUCUGAUCCAGCCAUGCCGCGUGCGGGAAGAAGGCCUACGGGUUGUAAACCGCUUUUGUCAGGGAAGAAAUCCCUUGGGAUAAUACCUCGGGGGGAUGACGGUACCUGAAGAAUAAGCACCGGCUAACUACGUGCCAGCAGCCGCGGUAAUACGUAGGGUGCAAGCGUUAAUCGGAAUUACUGGGCGUAAAGCGUGCGCAGGCGGUUAUGCAAGACAGAUGUGAAAUCCCCGGGCUCAACCUGGGAACUGCAUUUGUGACUGCAUAGCUGGAGUGCGGCAGAGGGGGAUGGAAUUCCGCGUGUAGCAGUGAAAUGCGUAGAUAUGCGGAGGAACACCGAUGGCGAAGGCAAUCCCCUGGGCCUGCACUGACGCUCAUGCACGAAAGCGUGGGGAGCAAACAGGAUUAGAUACCCUGGUAG